GAUGAACGCUGGCGGCGUGCCUAAUACAUGCAAGUCGAGCGAACAGACGAGGAGCUUGCUCCUCUGACGUUAGCGGCGGACGGGUGAGUAACACGUGGAUAACCUACCUAUAAGACUGGGAUCACUUCGGGAAACCGGAGAUAAUACCGGAUAAUAUAUUGAACCGCAUUGUUCAAUAGUGAAAGACGGUUUUGCUGUCACUUCUAGCUGGAUCCGCGCCGCAUUAGCUAGUUGGUAAGGUAACGGCUUAUCAAGGCAACGAUGCGUAGCCGACCUGGCGGGGUGAUCGCCCACACUGGAGCGUGACCACGGUCAAGGGUCCUACGGGAGGCAGCAGUAGGGAACCUGCCGCAAUGGGCGAAAGCCUGACGGAGCAACGGCGAGUGAGUGAUGAAGGUGUUCGGAGCGUAAUACUCUGUUAUUAGGGAAGAACAAAUGUGUAAGUAACUAUGCACGUCUUGACGGUACCUAAUCAGAAAGCCACGGCUAACUACGUG
RNAcentral lists this ribosomal RNA (497 nucleotides) under uncultured bacterium. Its description in RNAcentral is "partial 16S ribosomal RNA". It matches the Rfam family "Bacterial small subunit ribosomal RNA", at positions 28 to 507 of the family's 1533-position model. The record is from RNAcentral.